This is a non-coding RNA of Cricetulus griseus (Chinese hamster), 1730 nucleotides long. NCBI's taxonomy places the organism in Eukaryota, Metazoa, Chordata, Mammalia, Rodentia, Cricetidae. The record is from RefSeq and is a predicted model, not a curated record.
UCAACAGGAGUCCUAGAAACAGCCUUGUGGUUCCCUGAGAAUCUGUACUCCUUACUCCUAAACACCAACUCACUGAGGGGCCCUCACUUCCCCCUGGGCCCCAGUCUCCCCCAUACCAUAGCCACAGAAUCCUCUCAAAGGCACACUGUCCUUCUCUGUCCAGGAUCUCCUGCCCCAGAGACCUACUCAGUCCCAGGAGAGUGGUGGUCACUGGACCCUGGAUCCAACCUCUUUGGGGAGGACAGACAGCAGAGGCUCGGCUCCAGAUGCUGCCAUGUGACCAUUUAUGUCCUCCAGUAUCCGUGGCAUCCCUGGGACUCUCCACAUUGCUGUCUUUUUCCUCAGCAAGUGCCGUCUUGCCUUACAGUUUCAGCUCUGGCCCCAAGCUGAUGUGGCCUGGGUGGCUCAGGUCCUUCCUCAAGUAACCUGGAGUCUGGGCCACCUUCAAGCUUUGGAUUUUGAGUCCAUGUGGCUGAAGCUGCCAGUACCCGGAGCUGCUGGGCUUCAUUCUCUCCUGGGGAAUGCUCCUGCACACCCUGACCCAAGCUACCACAGCACCCUGUGAACCUGAGCUGUGAUCUCACUCUCCAGGUCUUGCUCUUCCUCUCUGGAAAAUGGGCACCAUGUGAGGCUCUCUCAGGGCAAAGCUCCGUGGAGCAACAGACUGAUGGCAGUGGCCCAGGGGAGGCUACCUGGCCACCUCUUGCAGCUGCCCUACAGGGUUUCCAAUUUCCCUCAAGUGCCUCCCUGGCUGGGCCGGAUCCCCAGCCGGAGGAAGGAUGAAACCAGGGGAGGGGGUAGACCCAGACAAUGUGCACAUUGAGCCCGUGCCAGGCCCAGUCAGGUUGGGCAGACAUUGUUGGGGCAGGCCUGGAGGGCCUGGGGCCUGGCAUUGAGGGGCAUUGGCUUACCUUGGUGACUCCUGGAGGCAUUUUCCUUUCCCUAAGGAUUAUAACUAAGACAAUGAUCAGGGCUGGCCUGAGGUAUGGCCUGGUGUUUUUAGGCAGGAGAGGCUGUGUGUUUUGCAGUCAGUGUGUCCCUGUGACAAUGCAAUGGACAAGAGCAACAGUAACCAGCCAUCAACAACAAGGGCAGGAAUAACAGUAAGCAGUCAUUGAGGACCAUGCCUCCAUACAGCCUAUGGGCCCCCAGACUGCAGCCCGACUUCACAGACAGUAAACUGAGUGUGCAAGAAGAAAGCCUUUGUCUGACCCCUUUGAAGGCUCUGGAGGACCAGUAGCAGGCAGAGGGCAGCGGGCAAUGCCUGCAGGUGCCAGUGUCCCAUCGUUCAUAUUCCUGGAGGGCGAGUGUUGGAUGCUUUCCAUUUGACACAUGGGAGCUGUAAGAACAGAGAGGCCAAGUGGCUUACCUAAGCCACAGAGUAGCAAAUGGCUGGACUAGGGUCAAGUGGCCCUGAGGUCUUAGCAAUGGGUCACUCUCCAGCAGGAAUGCACUGUGCACAUUUUGAAGAUGGAAAACAAGGCUCCCAGAGGUGAGGCAUGAUGGACCUCGUGGAACUGGACACAGGAAAUGCACAGGGCUGACUACUGUCACCCAGGCCAGGCCCCUGCAGGAGGUGUGGGAGACCCCCCUGUGCCUGUGACCUAUGCCCCAGCCUCUGUGUUUACCCACCCUGAGACCCAGGAUGCUCUUCCGCCUGCCCGGGAGUCUCAGGCCCUUCACAAUAGCAUCUCUGUCUACUGGUUUUCAUUCAAGCCCUUGGUGCUAAA